Molecule: long non-coding RNA, 289 nt
Filed under: Mytilus galloprovincialis (Mediterranean mussel)
Lineage: Eukaryota; Metazoa; Mollusca; Bivalvia; Mytilida; Mytilidae
Source: RNAcentral
GUCAAAACAUUAUAUGAAGUGCUCACAACAUUAUAUUAAGUGCUCACAACAUUAUAUUAAGUGCUCACAACAUUAUACGCAGUGGUCCAAACAUUAUAUGCAGUGGUACAAACAUUAUAUGAAGUGGUCAAAACAUUAUAUGAAGUGCUCACAACAUUAUAUGAAGUGGUCACAACAUUAUACGUUUUUUGUUGUAUGUGAGAUUGAUGUAUGAUGAGAUCAUUCGGUAAACUUCGUUUUUUAGCGGAAAUUACCGAAUCCAUAAUAGGUAAAUUACGGUAAAUUAAUG